RNA transcript from Fragaria vesca subsp. vesca, 3504 nucleotides. It is a transcript of the gene named G-type lectin S-receptor-like serine/threonine-protein kinase At5g35370-like, with no coding region annotated. NCBI's taxonomy places the organism in Eukaryota, Viridiplantae, Streptophyta, Magnoliopsida, Rosales, Rosaceae. The transcript has 4 exons. The record is from RefSeq and is a predicted model, not a curated record.
AUAGGCUGUUGAAAAGGGACUAGAAACUGUAGCAGACAUUGCCUUCUUCAUCAUGUAUAUGAAUGCUGAAACGCAAUUCAUUCACUAGCCAUUUGCCAUGGAUUCCUUGUAUGCAUUAAGCUUGUCUUUCGCUAUCUUAUGGCUUUCGCUUCUCCCCGUUCUCACUGCCUCAAACCUUAACCACUACAUCACUCCAAACUUCACAGCCAACCGUAUCCAAUUCGUUGAGACUUCUGGCGCUUUCUUGGAAUCUCUUAAUGGCACUUUCCGAGCCUCUAUCAGUACUGCAGAUUCAAUACAGUCGCUUUUCUACUUCUCUGUCAUCCAUGUGGCCUCUAACACCAUCAUCUGGUCAGCCAACCGCAACGCUCCCGUUUCAUAUUCUGCUAUGCACUCACUCACCAUCCAUGGCCUUGGUAUCACUGAUGACUUGAACAGAGUUGUGUGGUCUACACCCUCAUUCAACUCUAAGGUUGCUGCUCUCCAGCUUCUAGAAACCGGGAACCUCAUCUUGGUUGAUGCACACAAUGUUUCUCUCUGGAACAGUUUUGAUUCUCCAACAGAUACUCUGAUCAUUGGACAAAGAUUGUAUCCUGGUCAAUCAUUGACUGCUGCUGUGGGAAACAACAACUUAUCUGUCGGUGAUUACAAGCUUGCAGUUACCAGUGAGGAUUUGGUUCUGCGAUGGAGGGGUCAAACUUAUUGGAAACUAUCCAUGGAAAGCAAAGCUUUUAAGAAUUCAGAUACACCAGUUUCCUACGUGGAAAUGAGUAGGACUGGUUUGUAUUUGUUUGGGGCUGAUGGCUUGAAGGCUGUGUUUCAAGUUUUCUUGGAACCCUCAGAUACAAAGAUUGCGAGGUUGGGAUAUGAAGGAAUUUUCAGCAUCAUUAGCUUCAUAGGAAGCAAGUGGGUGCAGGACUUUGUGAAGCCAGUUGAUAUCUGCCAACGUCCAUUUACUUGUGGAAAACUGGGAUUCUGCUCGAAUCAGAGUCCGACGUGCAUAUGUCCAACAGGUUUCCAUAAUGGUGCUCAGGAGCAUGAUGCUUGUGUGCCAAUACAAGACACCAUCUCUUUGCCUUCUUCCUGUAAUGGAAGUGGAAAUACCAGUGAGUUCAAUUCCUCAACUGUUUAUAUAGAACUGCAAAAAGGCAUGGACUAUUUUGAUUUAUGCUCACAAAACUGUUCUUGCCUGGGAAUUUUCCAUGAAAAUUCUUCUGGUUCUUGUUAUCUUCUCGAAUUCAAUUUAGGUUCCCUCAUGCCUAUGGCCUUUGGUGAGGAAGGGCUAUUAGGGUACAUUAAGGCUCUCUCAACUGUGUCUGUAAUCCCGGAAGAGAAUAAGAAACAUGGUUUAGCAGUAUCAAGUUUGGUGGUUAUAAUAACCCUUUCAGGGUUCUUGUUCACCACCAUCCUGGUCAUGAUCAUUCUAUGGUUGAGAAAGAGAAGGUCAAACAGAAUGACCUUUGGACGUUUGAAUUCGUCUUCAACAGCAGAUCCUGAGAUGGCCUCCAUCCCGGGUUUACCAGUAAGAUUUAGUUAUGAAGAGCUUGUUGCUGCAACUGAAAAUUUUAAUAAUCAAAUUGGCAGUGGUGGAUUUGGUACUGUGUAUAAGGGUACUAUAGCAGACAAGACUGUAGUGGCAGUGAAGAAGAUGAAGAGUUUAGGAGUUCGAGGGAAGAUGGAGUUUUGCAACGAGACUGCUUCAAUUGGAAACAUCCACCAUGUCAAUCUCGUCAAGUUAAGAGGUUUGUGCAUCCAUGGGAAGCAGUACUUUCUAGUUUAUGAUUAUAUGAAUAGAGGUUCACUGGAAAAGAUUCUUUUUGGGAAUGAGUCUAAUGCUCCUGUCUUAGAAUGGCAAAAGAGAUACGAAAUAGCGCUUGGAAUGGCACGGGGUCUGGCUUACUUGCACAGUGGAUGCCACAGAAGAUCAUCCACUGCGACAUUAAGCCUGAAAACAUUCUUUUGCAUUCAGACUUUCAAGUAAAAAUAUCAGAUUUUGGGCUUGCCAAGCUGCUGAGCCAUGAAAAUUCCAAACUGUUGACAACACUGAGUGGAACUCGGGGCUAUCUUGCACCUGAAUGGCUUACUAGCCAUGGAAUCACUGACAAAACUGAUGUAUAUAGCUAUGGAAUGGUUUUACUGGAACUGGUGAGGGGAAGCAGAAAUUUCUUGUUCCAGUGCAGCAGCACUGAAAGUGAUGUCAGUGAAGCAAAUGGACCAUCUUUCACUUCAACCAGUUGCAACCUUGGAAUGGUGUAUUUCCCUCUACUUGCACUUGAAAUGCAUAAGCAAAGAAGAUAUAUGGAACUAGCCGACCCAAGACUAGAGGGUCAGGUUAGGAUUGAGGAGGUAGAGACUCUAGUGAGAGUAGCAUUAAGUUGUUUACAUAUAGUUCCAACACUAAGGCCAAGUAUGACUAAUGUGGUAGCUAUGUUGGAAGGCAGAUUACCUAUAAGGGAGCCUAGGGUUGAGGCACUAGAGUUCUUAAGAUUGUAUGGUGGGAAAAUCACUGAGACAUCCAGACUGCUCACAAGGAUUCCUGGUUACAAGAAAAGACCCAGCUCUAGGUAUAUAGGCGGCAUCCAGGUGAGAUUUGAUGGUUUCCCUAUGCUGAGUUUUGAUUAUCCAACUGACACUCUCGUCAUAGGACAGGGUUUGUAUGGCGGUAAAUCAUUAGUCAGUGCUGUUUCAAAUGGUAACUCCUCCCACGGUAUUUAUACUCUUAAUAUUACCAGUGAGGAUAUGGUGCUGCAAUGGAAGAGCCAGACUUUUUGGCUACUAUCCAUGGAACCAGAAGCUUACAAGACCUCAAAUACGCCGGUGUCCUAUAUGGAAAUGAACAGUACUGGCUUGCAUUUAGUUGGGGAGGAUGGCUUGCAGGUUGUUUUGCAAGUUGCCUUGGUACCCUCAGAUGCAAAGAUUGCCUGGUUGGGAAGUGAAGGGAUUUUCAGCAUCAACAUGGAAGUCAACAAUAUGGCGCUGGAUUUUACAAUGCCAGUAGAUAGUUGCCAAGUUCCAUUCAUGUGUGGAAAGAUGGGAUUAUGCACGAAUCAGACGUGUGUAUGCCCUUCAGAUUUCUCUGCUGAUCAGAAUUACAGUUGUGCUCCGAAACAAGUUUCAGAGGGGACAAUCUCUUUGCCUUCUGCUUGUACUGCAACAGGUAAUGUCAGUGAAGUUAAUUCCUCGACUGUUUAUGUGCAAAUUCAAAAUGGCAUAGACUAUAUUGGUAAUCAUUUCACUGAGCCUGUGGAAAUUGGUGUGAACUUAUCACUAUGUCAGAAUCUAUGCUCACAAGAUUGUUCUUGCUCCGGGAUUUUCUUUGAAAAUUCAUCUGGUUAUUGUUAUCUCCUUGAUUACAAUAUGGGUGGUUUCAUGUUAAACUCUGAUGUUCAGGGAGGUCCAUUAGGGUACAUAAAGGCUAUCCUAAAGAUAUCUCAAGUAUCGACUGAGCAAGAGAAACAUAGUUUUCCAAUAUCAGCUUUGGUUUGUCGGGGUUGUUCAUGUUGA